CAGUCGCCACGGUAAUACGAAGGGGGCUAGCGUUGCUCGGAAUGACUGGGCGUAAAGGGCGCGUAGGCGGCUGUUACAGUCAGACGUGAAAUUCCUGGGCUCAACCUGGGGGCUGCGUUUGAUACGUGAUGGCUUGAGUUCGGAAGAGGGUCGUGGAAUUCCCAGUGUAGAGGUGAAAUUCGUAGAUGUUGGGAAGAACACCGGUGGCGAAGGCGGCGACCUGGUCCGAUACUGACGCUGAGGCGCGAAAGCGUGGGGAGCAAACAGGAUUAGAUACCCCCGUAGUCCCUGUCUCUUAUAC
This 301-nucleotide ribosomal RNA is filed under the name uncultured bacterium. Its description in RNAcentral is "partial 16S ribosomal RNA". It matches the Rfam family "Bacterial small subunit ribosomal RNA", at positions 509 to 807 of the family's 1533-position model. The record is from RNAcentral.